Molecule: small nucleolar RNA, 117 nt
Organism: Otolemur garnettii (small-eared galago)
Lineage: Eukaryota; Metazoa; Chordata; Mammalia; Primates; Galagidae
Source: Ensembl
UAGCCCCUGAAUCAAGACAGCUGUUGGCUUCAAAUAAGAGCCAAGGGUGAUGUCUUCCUUAUGGUCUGUUGGCUAAUAUCACUAUAUGAAUGGCCAAUUCAGUUGGAAGAAACAUAA